Non-coding RNA from Sus scrofa (pig), 8790 nucleotides. The record is from RefSeq and is a predicted model, not a curated record. NCBI's taxonomy places the organism in Eukaryota, Metazoa, Chordata, Mammalia, Artiodactyla, Suidae.
AGCCCGGCAGGCCUAUCGUGGUGCCCCGCCCCGUCGCGCCCGCGCCUGCGCUGUGCGCGCUUACUGGUCUCAAGCGCCCCGGCGGGAGGUUUUUCUACAUGAGUGGAGAAGACAGUUGUUGCAAAUAGAAGAGAUAAAACAUUUUUUUUAGGAUGUCUGAAGAUGAAGAAAAAGUGAAAUUACGCCGUCUUGAACCAGCUAUUCAGAAAUUUAUUAAGAUAGUAGUCCCAACAGAUCUGGAAAGGUUAAGAAAGCACCAGAUAAAUAUUGAGAAGUAUCAAAGGUGCAGAAUCUGGGACAAAUUGCAUGAAGAGCAUAUCAAUGCAGGACGUACAGUUCAGCAACUCCGCUCCAAUAUCCGAGAAAUGGAGAAGCUUUGUUUGAAAGUCCGAAAGGAUGACCUAGGACUUCUGAAGAGAAUGAUAGAGCCCAUUAAAGAAGAAGCAUCAGCAGCAACAGCAGAAUUUCUCCAGCUCCAUCUGGAAUCUGUAGAAGAACUUCAAAAACAAUUUGAUGAUAAAGAAGCUUUAUUACAGCCUUCUUUGACCAGAUCCAUGACUGUUGGUGGAGCAUUUCACACUACUGAAGAUGAAACUGAACCUCAGAGUAUGACUCAGAUAUAUGCGCUGCCUGAAAUUCCUCAAGAUCAAAAUGCUGCAGAAUCAUGGGAAACCUUAGAAGCGGACUUAAUUGAACUUAGCCAACUGGUCACUGAUUUCUCUCUCCUAGUGAAUUCUCAGCAGGAGAAGAUUGACAGCAUUGAAGACCAUGUCAACAGUGCUGCUGUGAAUGUUGAAGAGGGAACCAAAAACUUGGGGAAGGCUGCAAAAUACAAGCUGGCAGCUCUGCCUGUGGCAGGUGCACUCAUUGGAGGAAUGGUGGGGGGUCCGAUUGGCCUCCUUGCAGGCUUCAAAGUGGCAGGAAUUGCAGCUGCACUUGGUGGUGGGGUGUUGGGCUUCACAGGUGGAAAAUUGAUACAAAGAAAGAAACAGAAAAUGAUGGAGAAGCUCACUUCCAGCUGUCCAGAUCUUCCCAGCCAGACUGACAAAAAAUGCAGUUAAAACCAACCUUCAGUAUUAUUGGUGUCAACAUGUCUAUCCUAAUUGGGACUUUGCUGCUAUUGGACACUCAGGCAGCUUUUGGAACAUGAUUAUAUCAAGAUAGUGGCUACAGAUGCUCAAAUGGGAUUGAACUGUGAUAAGUGGAUAUAUUUUGUUGUUUGGUGGGGUAUUAAUGGAUAUAUUAGAGAUUGAGGAGCCUGGACUGAAGGUUUAUAAUGUUUAUCAGGUAAAGUUUAAGGUCUGCCAAGGGGUAGAUUUUCUGCCUGGAAAUGUGAAAACAAAACCCAUGCUUUGUUAAGGACUCGUAAUAUAUGGACAUGUUGGGUUAUGGAAAGAUAGUUUUCAGAAUAGUUUCUUCCGUAACCCUGAUUUGGAAACUCUACGGUAAUAAGCAUAUUGUAAAUAUGCUUUUUUAUCUCCUAAAUAUAGGUUAUUUAGGCAUUUUAGCAAAGAAUGAAUGGAGGUUCAGGAGCCUUUUAUAUCAUAUAGGGAAAUCAGAAUCUAGCAAGGGGCACAAGUGAACUGCAUGGUGGUAUCCAUUUGAUGAGCCCUAUUGCAGUAUGGUCUAAGUAUAUUUUCUGGUGAAGGAAAGUAAUAGUGUAAGAAAAGGGAAAGAGAGGCCCAAUUUCUCUUUCAAAUAUCUUAAUUUGUAACACUGGCUUCUUCUCUGAACUUGUUCUUCUCACUCUCUUUAGAUAAAGAACAGAGUUUCAAAGUGGUAGAUUUAUUAAGCCAGUCACUAAGUUUGCUUUGUUAGCCUGUCUCUCUUAACACCUCAAAUAUCUAGUAAGCUCUGCCUUCCUUCCCUUGUAAUUUUGAGAAGUCCUUAGAAUUAUGGGGUGAGUUCUAUCCAUAUAUAAUGCAGACUUCUCUCAUAAUCCUUUUUUUUUUUUUAUUGUCUGCCAUCUCUAUUCGUCCUCUCCUGUAACUUCUAGGUAAAAAAGAGAGAUGUUGACCUCCAAAUAUUUCCAAUGUUGUUAAGAGACUGAGCUGAAAAAUAAGCUAGGUGGGAACACCAGAUCAUUUCUUGGGGCAUCUUCCAAUUUCACCUGUACUUGCUGCAUGGGGAUUCGCCGAUUCUAAGUCUUUUUAGCUGGCACUUGGAGGAGUAAAGAACCAGCUUUCUACCUCACUUCUUUUACUGUCAUCCUUUCUCCAGGUUCUGAUAUCUCCUGUGCUUUCCAUCACUUUUCACAGCUGCUAUUUCUUCCCAAGAAUGGCAGUCAUGCUUGCCUUUUCUCAUGUUCAAGCUGAUGAUGGACAAAGCAUGGUGCCAAGACUCAGUCCUAGUGGAGGAUUUGUGGUGCUAAUUGCAACACUUGAUAUUGAUAGCAAGCAUGGCCCAGCCCAACCCAAUGUCUCUUUCAAAUAGCAGAAAAGUUUUAAAUUUAGAAAAAAAGAAUUUAAGAUUACAGGCAGCCUCAUCCUGUACCCUCAAUUCCCUUGAAAUAGGAGGAAACCACCUUUUGCCUUACUCUUUUUAUUCUUUUCUAAGGACAGAGGAGAAGGCAUCUACACCACAAGAAGUGUGAGCCAAAUGGAUUCAUCAGGCGGUUGAAUGGUUUAUCACUUCUCUCUUGCUGAGUUUACUCUUAAUAACUUUUAUCAGUUGCUACCUUUUACUUCUGUGUUUAAUCUAAAGAGACCUUUCUCUUUCAUACCUUUUGCCUAUCACCUAUGAAUUCCAAUGAGAAAAUGUACCGUUUCUUACUGUUAUUAAAUAAUUGGAAAACAUCAAGUAUUACUACUGCUGGGUUAUGUCUUUAAUAUACUACCAAGAAGGAAAUACUUUGAGUAAGAGUUAGAUUCUGAUCAGGCAUUUGAUAUUGGAAACCCAUAAGGUUGGGAUAAUUAUUUUUGAACGCCAUCUUUUUCUAUUUUCUGAUCCUUGCUGUCCCUUUUACACAGGGUGAUCAAACCAGAACAAAAAUCUGAAUUGUCCAGGGUGCUAAAUUAAAACAAGAUUCCUAAACUUCAGUCCCUUGGGUUCUUUUCUCUUUUUUAUGCUUUUAGCAUAUGGAGGUUCCCAGGCUAGGGGUCUAAUCGGAGCUACAGCUGUUGGCCUAUGCCGUAGCCACAGCAACACCAAAUCCAAGCUUUGCAUCUGCGACCUACACCACAGUUCAUGGCAAUGUCGGAUACACUGAGCGAGGCCAGGGAUCAAACCCGCAACCUGAUGGUUCCUAGUUGGAUUUGUUUCUGGUGCGCCACGUUGGGAAAGCCCCCUUGAGUUCUAAUAGUAGCCAGUCUGGCCUGGUCAGUUAAAAUUAUAAAUUUUUAAGUUUUAUUGAAGUAUAGUUGGUUUACAAGGUUGUGAUAAUUUUUGCUGUACAACAAAGUGAUUCAAUUUAAAAUUAUAAAUUUAAGAUACAGGUACAUCAAGAUUCAGCUGUAUCAUUGAAUUCUGUAAUUUCUAAUAUUCUCCCCUUCAGCAUAGUCCAGUCUUCAUCACUGCAUAUUAUUCCUACUCUACCAAUCUAAAAUUUGGCUAGCUCACCACCUUAACAGCACUGUGGACUCACUGUACUGUUAGGCUGGUUUUACAUCAAGACCUGAAGAGAGAAGAGGCCUGUAACUGACCUUUGCAUUUUGUUUUGGGAUCUCUCCUUUUUACCGAGCCAGUGUGAGACGUCACUGUAUGUGCUCAUACAGGCCUUUGAUUUUUACUACUGAUGAGGAUUGGAAUAUUACUCUAGCAGUCUUCAUGUUUAAGCAAAUUAUAAUCCUUUUUAAAAGUUUUAUAAUAUAAAAUUAUUUAGAAAUUGUAUCUAAUUUCCCCAUAAUGGAACCUAAUAGCCAACUUUUUGUAGAAAUUUCUAGAAGUGUUUGAUCAACUAUAAAUGAUAUACCUAUAACUAUAAAGUGUUUAGAUGUAUAAAUUAGUCAAUAUGGGAGUUCCCAUCAUGGCUCAGUGGAAACAAAUCUGACUGGUAACCAUAAGGAUGCAGGUUGGAUCCCCGGCUUCACUCAGUGGGUUGAAGAUCUGGCAUUGCUAUAGCUGUGGUGUAGGUUGAAGAUACGGCUUGGAUCCCUCAUUGCUGUGGCUGUGAUGUAGGCUGGCACCUGUAGCUCUGAUUAGACCCCUAGCCUGGGAACUUCCAUAUGCCGUGGGUGCAGCCCUUUAAAAAUAUAAUAAUAAUAUAAUAUAUAUAUAUGUGUGUGUAUAUAUAUAUAUAUAUAAAAUUAGUCAAUAUGACAGAAAAAAUGUAUAUAUAAAAUUAGUCAAUAUGACAGAAGAACCAAUCUUAAAAUAGAAUUUAAUGCCCUACUAUAUCAGAUUAAAUUCAUCUCUAUGAUUCAUGUCUAUUUUUACUGCAACAAAUUAUAAAGUAAGGGACACUUUAAAUUCUUAAAAUAUACAGAGACUCUUUUGGCUAAAGGCAGCACUUCUAAAGACUUUUUUCCCCCCAGGAAAUCCAUAAUGUGUUUUUUUAAGAACAAUCAUAACUCCUAGAAUCAAAUGAUUAUCCUUUUAAAUAGUACUCUUGGGGGGCUCUGCACUUACUAUAGGGAUUGUAAUAUUAUUUAGACCAUUUUUGAGACUUCUCUUGGAAUUGCCUCCAAAGACAUUUUACAAAUCAUAUAAAAACUCCAUCUCAGUGUUUAUUAGUCACAGACUAUACUUCCUUGUCCUUAUGACCUCUCCUCCUCUUGUCCUUCCUCAGUUUUGUUUUCAUCUGCUGGCUUAGCUCCCCUACCCACUUCUGCUGCAGCCAUUAACUUAAAAGUGCCCAGAAAAGGGGGUGUGCUGGCCAGAGUUCCCAGAACAAGAACUUUUAGAUUAUACUGAAGCUGAAUGCUGUACAGGGAGAAUUCCACAAAUCCAAAAACUUUCCCCUGUGGGCUGCCUGCCCCUAGGGUGCUGUAAGUAGUUUGCACGGAAGUUAAGGACUGAAUACUAGUAUUAUCAAUCACAAGAAGUUGAGGAAACGGAAAUGUAAACAUGUAGUGUACCACAUUUUUCUCCACUGAAAGUACAGAAGCCAAACCAAGCCAUUCUUUGUGUUAACUUUGAAACUGAAAUGUUGUUCUCAGGGUCCCUCUUGUCCCUCAUUGCUGUCAUAUGAAAUCUUUGGGAGGAAGGAUGAAAAAGAGCUUGGGAAACAGUUCUCCUGUAAAAUGGGACAUAUUCUGCACUCAUAAUAAAGUAUGACAUGGCUGUGGCUAUCAGGUACUUAAGAAUGCUAGAAACUGUUCUUAGAUAGUCAGAGGCCUAAUAAAAGGUCAAGAAUCUUCCCCACUAGCCUAAGUUAAUGCAAACAGGUUCUAUUUGUAUUAAUACUUCAUGCUGUUUCUAACAGGUGGUUCUCAACUGUUUAUAUUUAUUAGACACUGUUGUACAGAGACACUCCUUGGAUAUUAUAAAUAAUCAGUGGUAAAAGAUCCAUAUAUUAUCCAAAUCACUGUCCUCAAAGAAAUAUAUUGUGGGAGAUAAGAAAAACAUCUGUGCAAUAUUAACAAAGAAAUAAAUUCAAGUAAAACAGCAAAAGUGUCAAAAGUAAAUGAUUUGCCCAAGAUUAAAAGUAGUUAGCACAAAUUAGAAUUAUAAUCAUGCUCUAAGAAAAAAAGUCCUCAAUGUGAACUUUUUUGUUAUGCUUUAUCAAGUUGUCUGCUGGAGCUUGUGGUCUUUCAGACCAGCUUUAACAUUCUACAUUAGGCAACAGCUGUAGUGGAAAGAGAAUUUGAUGGAGAAUCAGAUCAGAGUUCUCAUUUUGGCUUUGUCUCUUGUAAGCUUUUACUUGGGCCUGAAUGCUUUCUUGCAUUCUAGCCAGGGACUCCUCAACCAUAAAGCUUAAUGGUCACCAACUUAACAUUCCCAUUCUUUAUAUCUAGUCUCUCACUGGAUCUUGCCAAUUCUUUGCAUGUUAGUUGCAUUCAUUUUAAAAAAUUUAUUCAUAGCCAUCACUUUAUUACCUCACAUCCCCUAUCUCAUCUUCCCCAACUUUAGGCUGACAUUCUUCACAUCACUGCUACCAGACCUGUCUUUGGUUUUCUGCUGAAAUAUUUUUGGUGAAUCCUAUUGAAUACUUGAUAAAAUUCAGUCUUCCAUAUUCUGGCUCCAGCUUCAUCCUCUUCAAACUCAUUACUCCCUAUCUGACAAUGCCACUGAAAAUCAGACAUUCCACAAGAAUGAUUUUAGGGUUUUUAUAUAGUGAAGGUACAAACUGGUAAUAAACUGUUUACAUUUUUUCCAGACUAAGGUAAUUUCUGUAAUUCUACAUUUUAAAUUAAAAAUUUUUUUUUGUUUUGGCUAUAGCUAUCCUAGUGGGUGUAAAGUUGUAUCUUAUUGGGGCUUUGAUUUGCAUCUUGGUUGUGAUUCAUGAUGUUGAAUAUUUUUUUCAUGUGCUUAUUGGUUAUUUAUGUAUCUUUAUAGAAAUAUCUAGUCAAGUCUUUUGCCCUUCUUUUUGGCCAUGCCCAUGGCAUGCAUAAAUUCCUGGACCAGGGAUCGAACCCGUGCCACAACUGUAACCAGAGCUACAGCGGUAACAAUUCCAUAUCCUUAACCUGCUGAGUCACCAGGGAACUCCUGUGAUACUACAUGGAAAAAAAAUUAGUUGAGUUUGUUUAAGCUCUUGAACAAGCCUAAAAGUUGUCUCCUAUGGAGAAGAAAUCUUUUGUCCUCCCAGAAGAAAUUACAUUGAAUUUCUUAACCUCCAGAACAAUGUCCAUCUUUUCACCUGCACAUCAGCUAGCCAAAGCAUGAGGAUUUAGCUGCAUAGAUUUUUUCCAGUUUUGAAUGGACCAUUGUCCAGCUCCUGUGAAAAAUUUGACUAUUGAUAUUUGAGGAAAACAUUCAGUAGUACAUGUUAUCCAUACAUUUCUCAAGUACUUGAGAUUGGUUUAUAUUAGGGUUAAUCACUAAAAAGGAUGUUUACAUGGGUUUCAUUAAAUACUUCUCUAAAAAUGUUUUCCACUUUAUUGUUAAAACCCUUGUUAUUAUCAAGAGUCAGGACAAGAGAAGACCCAAUGGUGAGAAUUUCUGAAAAUUCUAUAAAGCCUGUGAAUUCAUUGAUUAUGUUGCUGAGUGGUGCUCUUAUAAGGUAACAUGCAAUAAAUUCACUUAAUCAACAUUUCCCUGAAUGCUCGUUGUGUGUUGUGUGCUAAUGCCAUAUGUAGGAAAAUAUUAGUCCUAUAGAAUCUACCCUUGUAAAACAUUCAGGCUAAUGAUUCAGAUUCUCAAAGCAAGUAAAUCACAGUAAAACAUGGUUAAGUUUCCUAAAAUAAGAAUGAACAAAGUAAUAUUAGCACACAGAGAAUGGAGCGACUAACUCUGCCUGGAAAAGAAGGGAAAGUCUUUGUGGAACAUGUGGCAUUUGAGCAGAGAACCCUAGGGAAGAAUAUGCAUGACUGAAAACCGGGUCUGUGAGAUUUCAAGUGGCAGAGGAAUUGCAGGUGCAAAGGGUUUGUAACACUAAGAAAUGUAGUGUGCUUUAGAGAAAACCAAGGAAUUAAAUGUGAGUGAUGAAGUUGAUUAGAUGAUUAGAUGAACAUACAGACUAGGUGGUUUUUAUAUGUGUAUAAUUAUAUAUAUAUUUAUUUUGUUUAAAGGGAUUAAGAUAAUCCAUUUGUAUCAGGUAACUGUUAUAACCCUCUGAGUUCUUCCUUUUGCUUCAUUGCUAGAGAAGUUAGUAAUAAUCCUCACAUUUGCCUGGGCUCUUGGUUUAUUUGUCAUAUUUGCUUUCCUUUCCCAUAUGUAAGAAAUGAUUUGUGCUUUCUUGCCUCUCUGCUGUGAGAUCCUCUGCUUAAUACUGAAUGCCUGCUUUCUUCCUAUCCUGUUUCAUUUCAUAAAUAUUUAUUGAAAACCCACUGAGAAAAUAGACAUGAAAUUUACUUUUGCCUUUUAGUGUCCAAGACCUCCUUUAUGGUCCAGUUUUCCAUCCCUAUGUGAAUAUUUCCUGACAACUGCAAUUCAGUGGCUCUCAUUUUCCUUGAGGCUAAUCCUGCAGGGUUUUACAACUUCAUAACGAUAUAAAAUUUUUUCAUUUCUGGCAGUGUGAUCCCCCCAACUAGUAUGUAGGCAUCUUACAGGGCAAGUACCAUAUCAUUUGCUUCUUAGAAUAUCUCAUAAUAUGAAGUACAGUGUUGAGAAGGGGAAAGGAAACCACCCUGGUUAGUGACUCCCAGGUGAGUGAUGAGGUCAUGGCAUGUGUGUUCUUCUGUUUUCAGGGAUAUGUAUUGAAAUGUUGAAAAGCUUUCUAAGACAUCAAACCUUUGCUCAGUAGUCACUUCUGUAUAUUAACAUAGGAAUGAACAAGGCAACAGAAGACAUCUGGAAAACAGCUCUAGGAUUUUGAAGUCAUGAUUUGAAAACUUCAGAAUUUGAAGUGACUCCAAAACCUAUUCUCUAAGGGCAGGCCAGCCCUUUCCCAGUGUGCUCUGCAAGAGGGACCUUUGAUGCUUCAGCUAAAGGUUAGGUUUGAGUUAUCCACACAUGGAUUCAUACAACUUCCCAUUGUGAGUCAAGUACUGUUAAACAAUCUAAAAAAUAGCUUUAAAACUGGGAAAUCUUGUGACUCUGGUCAUUUGGAUUCUGAGUAAAAUGUUCACAAUAUAUUUAUGCCAAAUUGAAUUAGUAAAAAGUCUCAAGUAUAAAAAUAUUUUAUAAAUAUAGUUUUAUUACUUGGAAAUACAUACAAAAAUUCAAACACAGCUAAAAAACAGUUGCCAAGCAGCAGUCCUAACCAACCUGAUUUAAUGAACACAUAAAACAGUUAUAAUCAGCAUAAAA